GAAAUAGAUAAUUACGUUGAUGCCCUAACUACAAUGGAGGCAGAAUUAGAAACAGACUCUGAGCAGAGAGACAGAAGGGAUUUGCCCUUCUUGAACAGCAAAAAGCAAGUGCUAUGUCUGUCUUCUAGCAGUGAAAAGCUUCAAACUCAAUCUUCAGAUUCCCAUUCAAUUGAGAACUCUACAUUAUCUGAUGAUGGGAAUAGUUAUUCUAAGAAAGAAAUAUCUAGUUUUUCUUGUUCUGAUUCCCCUAGCACUUCUGUUGAGAGUGUCCUCUUGGAGAGCGAAAUUUCUAGUAAGGGA
RNAcentral lists this unclassified non-coding RNA (300 nucleotides) under Hevea brasiliensis (rubber tree). Lineage: Eukaryota; Viridiplantae; Streptophyta; Magnoliopsida; Malpighiales; Euphorbiaceae. The record is from RNAcentral.